Diospyros lotus (date-plum) is the source of this 421-nucleotide long non-coding RNA. RefSeq lists it as uncharacterized. NCBI's taxonomy places the organism in Eukaryota, Viridiplantae, Streptophyta, Magnoliopsida, Ericales, Ebenaceae. The transcript has 2 exons. The record is from RefSeq and is a predicted model, not a curated record.
GGUCGGGUUGACGAAGCCCAAGUCCAAACCGCCUUAUAUCCUUGCUAUAAAGUUGCUGCAAACCCUAACUAGGGUUUUGUUACUUCGCAUAUCACUUCUCCCUUGGACCCGACCUUCAUCUCUCUGUCUAUCAGGUUACAGAAGCUACUUGCAGCCAUGAGAGCCAAGUGGAAGAAGAAGCGGAUGAGGAGGUUGAAGAGGAAGCGCCGAAAGAUGAGGCAGAGGUCCAAGUAGUCUCUCCGAACGAAGAAAACGAGUUUUCUAGUUCUUGAUUAUGUUUUGAUGAUAGACUUCGUAGAUUUGAUCUAAUGACAGUUUUAUAUGUUUUUGGAUUAAUUUAUCUUUGUCUUCAGAUCGUUUAUGGUGAUUGUUACUACUGAACUGCCGUUCGCUGAAUCCAUAUGAUAAUGGUGUUAUGUUA